Molecule: ribosomal RNA, 253 nt
Filed under: uncultured bacterium
Lineage: Bacteria
Description: partial 16S ribosomal RNA
Rfam family: Bacterial small subunit ribosomal RNA
Source: RNAcentral
UACAGAGGGUGCGAGCGUUGUCCGGAAUCACUGGGCGUAAAGGGCGCGUAGGCGGCCUGAUAAGAGAGAUGUGAAAUCCCCGGGCUUAACCUGGGAACUGCGUUUCUAACUGGCAGGCUUGAGUGUGGCAGAGGGGGGUGGAAUUCCACGUGUAGCAGUGAAAUGCGUAGAGAUGUGGAGGAACACCGAUGGCGAAGGCAGCCCCCUGGGCUAACACUGACGCUCAUGCACGAAAGCGUGGGGAGCAAACAGG